GGUCAAGCGACUAAGCGCACAUGGUGGAUGCCUAGGCGGUAGGAGGCGAUGAAGGACGUAGUAGUCUGCGAUAAGCCUCGGCGAGCUGACAAACUAGCUUUGACCCGGGGAUUUCCGAAUGGGGCAACCCAACCACUUCGGUGGUUAUCGCGUACUGAAUACAUAGGUACGUGAGGCGAACGCGGUGAACUGAAACAUCUAAGUAGCCGUAGGAAGAGAAAUCAACCGAGAUUCCCUGAGUAGCGGCGAGCGAACGGGGAACAGCCCUUAAGCUUUAAUGAUGCUAGUAAAACAGUCUGGAAAGUCUGGCCAUAGAAGGUGAUAGCCCUGUAUGCGAAAGCUGAAUUAGAGUGAAAUCGAGUAGGACGGAGCACGUGAAACUUUGUCUGAACAUGGGGGGACCAUCCUCCAAGGCUAAAUACUACCUACCGACCGAUAGUGAACUAGUACCGUGAGGGAAAGGUGAAAAGGACCCCGGAGAGGGGAGUGAAAUAGAACCUGAAACCGUGUGCGUACAAGCAGUGGGAGCCCCUUCGAGGGGUGACUGCGUACCUUUUGUAUAAUGGGUCAGCGAGUUACUUUUAGUGGCAAGCCUAACCGUAUAGGGGAGGCGUAGGGAAACCGAGUCUGAACAGGGCGUCGAGUCGCUAGGAGUAGACCCGAAACCAGGCGAUCUAUCCAUGGCCAGGGUGAAGGUAGGGUAAUACCUGCUGGAGGCCCGAACCGGGUAAUGUUGAAAAAUUAUCGGAUGAGCUGUGGAUAGGAGUGAAAGGCUAACCAAGCCUGGAGAUAGCUGGUUCUCCUCGAAAGCUAUUUAGGUAGCGCCUCGUGUAUCACUGCUGGGGGUAGAGCACUGUUUCGGCUAGGGGGUCAUCCCGACUUACCAACCCGAUGCAAACUCCGAAUACCAGCAAGUGCAAUCACGGGAGACACACGGCGGGUGCUAACGUCCGUCGUGGAGAGGGAAACAACCCAGACCGCCAGCUAAGGUCCCAAAAUCACAAUUAAGUGGGAAACGAUGUGGAAAGGCUCAGACACCCAGGAGGUUGGCUUAGAAGCA
This 1060-nucleotide ribosomal RNA is filed under the name Arenicellales bacterium. Its description in RNAcentral is "partial 23S ribosomal RNA". It matches the Rfam family "Bacterial large subunit ribosomal RNA", at positions 1 to 1114 of the family's 2925-position model. Lineage: Bacteria; Pseudomonadati; Pseudomonadota; Gammaproteobacteria; Arenicellales. The record is from RNAcentral.